AGAAAUCAGUUCAGCACUAAGUCACUUUGUCUAUAUGGCAAAUGUGAGAUGCAGUGUAUGGAGCGUCAAUAUUCUAGUAUGAGAAAUUAACGAUUUAAGUCCUUCUUAAAUGAGGCCAUUUACCCAUAGAGGGUGCCAGGCCCGUAUAACGUUAAUGAUUACUAGAUGAUGUUUCCAAAGAGUCGUGUUGCUUGAUAGUGCAGCACUAAGUGGGUGGUAAACUCCAUCUAAAACUAAAUAUAACCAUGAGACCGAUAGUAAACAAGUACCGUGAGGGAAAGUUGAAAAGAACUCUGAAUAGAGAGUUAAACAGUACGUGAAACUGCUUAGAGGUUAAGCCCGAUGAACCUGAAUAUCCGUUAUGGAAAAUUCAUCAUUAAAGUUGUAAUAUUUUAACAAUAUUAUAAUAAUAGUGUGCAUUUUUUCCAUAUAAGGACAUUGUAAUUUAUUAGCAUAUACCAAAUUUAUCAUAAAAUAUGGCUUAUAGUUUAUUCAAAUUAUUAUGCUUGCAUUUUAACAUAGAAUAAAUGUCAUUAAUUUGAUAAAGUGUUGAUAAAUUAAAAUUAAUACAGUGCGUUAAUUUUUCGAAAUUAUAUAAUGGCAUAAUAAUCAUCGAUUUUUGUGUUUAUUAUAUGCAUUUGUAUGAUUAA
Molecule: ribosomal RNA, 650 nt
Filed under: Drosophila imaii
Lineage: Eukaryota; Metazoa; Arthropoda; Insecta; Diptera; Drosophilidae
Description: eukaryotic LSU rRNA
Rfam family: Eukaryotic large subunit ribosomal RNA
Source: RNAcentral